UAUCAACUAACUUUAUUGUCCGUGUAAAUCAAUGACAGACGGACGUUCCUGGCUUUCGGUACCUCGGGCAGUGCAGAUCCGCGUGGGGCUCUUCGUGUCGCAACAAAGGACGACCUAAUAGCGCACUAGGGCACCACGUGUAAGCCGAAAAUACCGGGAAUAAAGGGAACGGGCAGAGACUCAGAGUAGAGCCGGAGCUUCGGGAUUACUGGAAGCAGAGGUAAUGCCUGAGGUGAAGUCGAUGUUUCGGGAGGUGCUGCCCAAGCAAGGGCAGCUGUGUGUGGAGGAUGUUCCCACAAUGGUGCUGUGCAAACCCAAAAUCUUACCCCUGAAAUCUGUUACCCUUGAAAAACUGGAGAAAAUGCAGAGAGAGGCCCAGGAGGCGAUUCGGCGGCAGGAAAAAGAAGCGAGUGACCCGCCCCCUGGGCCAGAGUGACUGCUGGGAGAGCAGCACCUCAACUGCCACCACUAACUGUCAGCAGCACUAACACAUGCACUGAUGUACACUAUAGGGAAGAUAUUCCACAGCAGCACUAACACAUGCACUGAUGUACACUAUAGGGAAGAUAUUCCACCCCAUGUCUCCAGACUUGAAAUCUAAACUCCUUGAAUUUAAAUCUGACGAUAUUUCUUUGUAUAAAGCUAUUGGCUGCUCUCUAACUCUAUAUUGUAAUCCUUACACUCAUACUAGUUACACUGUUUAUUAACCAUCACUUUAUAAUCUUCCCAGUGCUUGUGGUAUAUUACUUUUAUUGUAUUAAAUUGUUAUUACCGACA
Xenopus laevis (African clawed frog) is the source of this 777-nucleotide long non-coding RNA. RefSeq annotates it as BBSome interacting protein 1 L homeolog. The transcript is spliced from 4 exons. The record is from RefSeq and is a predicted model, not a curated record. Lineage: Eukaryota; Metazoa; Chordata; Amphibia; Anura; Pipidae.